Molecule: ribosomal RNA, 608 nt
Filed under: Sporobolomyces salmonicolor
Lineage: Eukaryota; Fungi; Basidiomycota; Microbotryomycetes; Sporidiobolales; Sporidiobolaceae
Description: eukaryotic LSU rRNA
Rfam family: Eukaryotic large subunit ribosomal RNA
Source: RNAcentral
UGCAUAUCAAAAGCGGAGGAAAAGAAACUAACAAGGAUUCCCCUAGUAGCGGCGAGCGAAGCGGGAAAAGCUCAAAUUUGUAAUCUGGCGCUUUCGGCGUCCGAGUUGUAAUCUCGAGAAGUGUUUUCCGCGUCAGACCGCACACAAGUCUCCUGGAACGGAGCGUCACAGUGGUGAGAACCCAGUACACGGUGCGGAUGCCUGAUGCUUUGUGAUACACUUUCGAAGAGUCGAGUUGUUUGGGAAUGCAGCUCAAAUUGGGUGGUAAAUUCCAUCUAAAGCUAAAUAUUGGCGAGAGACCGAUAGCGAACAAGUACCGUGAGGGAAAGAUGAAAAGCACUUUGGAAAGAGAGUUAACAGUACGUGAAAUUGUUGGAAGGGAAACGCUUGAAGUCAGACUUGCUAUUCGGAGCUUGCUUCGAUUCGCAGGCCCGCAUCAGUUUUCCGGGGCGGAAAAUCGUAAGGAGAAGGUAGCAGUUUCGGCUGUGUUAUAGCUCUUUACUGGAUUCGUCCUGGGGGACUGAGGAACGCAGCGUGCUUUUUGCAUGGGCUUCGGCCCAUCCACGCUUAGGAUGCGGGUGGAAUGGCUUUAAACGACCCGUCUUGAA